GAUCAUAGCAGUUAGAAUAUGAAUAAAAUAUCGAUUCCCAAUAUGCAUGGUAUGUCAAUUUAUCAAGAUUAAGAUGGACUCUCUUGUGUCAGGCACUAUCUUAGAAUUUGAAUCAACUUCCUUCUUGGUUCUCCUUCACCCUAGAAGGUAAUUUCAGAAGUCAUAAUCACAUCUUAAUUAUUCUAAACCCUUCCUGUUGUCUAAUUUUAUUUUAUUUUUUUGCUUUCAGGCACAAGAGGCAAGUACAUUCAAUUAAUUGAACUCUUCAAAUAGAUUGGAUUCAAAUGUCCAUAUUGCAUUUUGUGUAUUUUGCAACUGCACUUCUCUGCUGGUGUUACAGCAAGGUAGAAACAAAUAAAGCUAGGUGAUGCCAGCGCAAGAAGGACAAGAUAUUCAGGAGAUGAACCUUCUUCAUGUUGUUGUCGUUGUGGUUCUGAAAUCCGGUCUCAAAAAUUAUGGGCUGUUUGGAUGAAAGACUACCAUGGUCUUCCAGCAGAUAAAGGAAAUCAUGAGCUGAGUCAAGGAACUCUGGUAGAGAAGACCACAGUGGUAGGUCUGCCAUCAUGGACCUUUUAAAUAGACAAAGGUACCCCAUAAAAUGGGAGAACUCACAUCUAUCUGAAAUUUGCACAUCCUGUUACUGUCAAAUUUUUGCUUUUUGAAGAAGGAAACUCUCACAGU
This 681-nucleotide long non-coding RNA is filed under the name Anser brachyrhynchus (Pink-footed goose). Its description in RNAcentral is "lncRNA (ENSABRG00000004663.1)". The record is from RNAcentral. Lineage: Eukaryota; Metazoa; Chordata; Aves; Anseriformes; Anatidae.